Molecule: long non-coding RNA, 455 nt
Organism: Zalophus californianus (California sea lion)
Lineage: Eukaryota; Metazoa; Chordata; Mammalia; Carnivora; Otariidae
Exons: 3
Source: RefSeq, a predicted model, not a curated record
UAAGCAACAAAGGAAAUGUGGUGGGAACAUGCCCUUCUCUGGGUUAUAAAAAGAAACUUGGAAUCAAACGUUGGGCAAUUUUCUAAAAUCCUAGAAGUCUGUCAUGACAGAACAUGAACAAACAUAAAACAUACAUUACCAAAUCGACAAGGGCAAACCAGUAAAAUCACAAAGACUGGUGGAAGGCAGAGCGAUCAGAACACCAACACCACUGAGGACUUGACUGCCCCUGUCAUCCAAGAAGAACCUCGUCUACUCCUGUCUUUGUCAGAGUCUUCAUUUCCUGAACAGUCAAGGCCAGGGAAAUCAUCAUUUUCUUUCUCAACAAUUAAGUAAAGUCAGAAAGACAUGAAGACAGAACCAAAGGGAAGCCAGACCUCUGGUGUUUGGAAUGAGCUGGAAUAUGUAUCCCCACACCUUAGUGGUGGCCGAUGUAGAUAUACUUAGGUGAGAUC